AUUGAACGCUGGCGGCAGGCCUAACACAUGCAAGUCGAGCGAGUGGCGUACGGGUGAGUAAUGUAUGGGGAACUGCCCGAUGGAGGGGGAUAACUACUGGAAACGGUAGCUAAUACCGCAUACCAUCGGAUGUGCCCAGAUGGGAUUAGCUAGUAGGUGGGGUAACGGCUCACCUAGGCGACGAUCCCUAGCUGGUCUGAGAGGAUGACCAGCCCCACUGGAACUGAGACACGGUCCAGAUUCCUACGGGAGGCAGCAGUGGGGAAUAUUGCACAAUGGGCGAAAGCCUGAUGCAGCCAUGCCGCGUGUAUGAAGAAGGCCUUAGGGUUGUAAAGUACUUUCAGCGGGGAGGCGUUACUCGCAGAAGAAGCAUCGGCUAACUCCGUGCCAGCAGCCGCGGUAAUUC
RNAcentral lists this ribosomal RNA (406 nucleotides) under uncultured bacterium. RNAcentral's name for it is "partial 16S ribosomal RNA". It matches the Rfam family "Bacterial small subunit ribosomal RNA", at positions 30 to 526 of the family's 1533-position model. The record is from RNAcentral.